UAGGAUAUAAAUCAUUUGAUUGAAUACAGAGUAGAGAAACCUUAUAUUUCACUCGGCACCCAUCUAUCUCCCGAACCCCUAUCACCCGAAACUCCCCUCUCCGUCCAACUUUGUGACGAGAUCUCCUCUAGGGUUCGCACAGAUCUGGGAAGAUCACUAUCGCUCGCCCUCUCCUCAGUUCUCUCCGCCUCUCUAACGCCUUCUUCGUCACCCUCUCCGUCGUUUCCUCUGGCGUAUGAGAGCUUCGUGAGGCUAUCAACGGCGCCGACCGUACCUGAUCCAAUGGCUGUCGCACUGUACUCUUUGUCGAUGAGAUCCACCGAUUCUCCAAGUUCCAGCAAGACUCCUUCCUCCCCGCCAUCGAAGAUGGUUCCAUCAUUCUCAUUGGUGCCACCACCGAGAGAACCCUAAUCUCAUUUUCCAAUUGCCUAAAAUUUUCUCGCCUGCGACGCCAUCACAGCCUCGGAAGCUCGCGUCCUUGCGAGCUCUGCAGUUCACGGGUUCGUGAGUGUUGCUACCUGCCGCUUGCAGCCUCGUGUGCGCUGCUGCCUGCCGCUCGCGAGUGUUGCCGCCUGCUGCUCGCGAUGGACAGAUUUCUAUGGCAGCUUUCAUUCUAUCUUUAGGAUCCAUGACUUGCACUCCAAAUUGACUCAUGGGCUUUCUUAAUGUAGUUGAAUUGAGAGCAUCAAAAUAUUAAUCAUCAAACAUGGAUUUACAAUGACAGUAUACGAAAGCUGGGCAUAAAAAUGAGUCAAAAAAUAUAGCAGAUUCAAGGAUCUACAAAAGUUGGACAUAUGAAAGUUGGACAUGGAUCUCUUCUGGCUCUACUGAAGUAGUGAUCAAUCCUCUUGUUAAAAUGAUCAAGAAAACAUAUAGUAGAUCCAAGGUAUCCAAGAGCAGUAACUCAGAUGAAGCUAAGUACUUUCGUUGCCCACAACUGUGAAUUUAGUAAAAAUUUGUUUAUUUUUAAUUUUCUGAUUAUGAUGGUGCCAUGCAGCAUGAAUUAUUUGAUAUUAUGAAAUGAGUUCAUGAACCACAAUUGCUUUAGCAAUUACACCUACUAAAGCAUUCAGUAUCCAUAAAUUCACGUCUCUUCUCUUUUAUCCUCCAUAUAAGAGUAUUCAAUUGUGAUGUGGAUGCAGAGGAAUCAUUCUGGUAAGGGUAUGAUUAUAUAUGAAAAUCUGGUUAGACCAUGGGAUUAACAAGAGCCAAGAGAUGUUUAUGGAAGUUGCAUUAUUUUAUUAGGCUGUUCUGGCUGUUAGGCAGACUUAUGCAGUUCAAUAAUGCUAUAGUUGUUGAUACAUUCAUUGGACUUGCAAUUUUAUACAACUCAUCAUUUAUCAAAUUAAGAUGGACUUUGUAGUGAUCUAAUAUGACACAUUCUCAAGAUGACAGAAACUUUGUUUUAUUUGUGACAGCUUCUUUUGGUCGACUGCUUGCUUGCUUGCAAAUUUACAAUUUGUUUCUCAAGAUGUAACGUGUUGUUCAACAGUGAUUUUCUCAAUGCCAGGUGCAAAAGAGGCAGAUUUAUGGCAUCACUAAUGUGCUUGAAGGGAUAGGAUUUAUGCCAAUGCUGCAGAUUACAGGAGCAACAACUAUAUGCUAUGUGACACUGCAUCUGAACCUCAGGGGUGUGACUGAGAAGUACUUCGACGAAGAACUAUCAAGAAAGUUUUAAGCCAGAAGAUGGUUAAAGUCAAUGAUUAAAAAACAUUCAAAUCAAGAGGAUAAGUAGCAUUUAUCAAGAUCCUUUAAGUUCAUGCAAUAAGAUGUAGUCGAUAAGAGUAGUUUUGAGUGUCUUCUAAUUAAAAUUUCUUUGUAUGCAA
RNA transcript from Zingiber officinale, 1826 nucleotides. RefSeq lists it as uncharacterized. Lineage: Eukaryota; Viridiplantae; Streptophyta; Magnoliopsida; Zingiberales; Zingiberaceae. The record is from RefSeq and is a predicted model, not a curated record. The transcript is spliced from 4 exons.